AGAGCGAACGCUGGCGGCGUGCUUAACACAUGCAAGUCGAACGCGCAGCAUUCUGUAGCAAUACAGGGUGUGGGCGCGUGGCGAACGGGUGCGUAACACGUGGAUAACCUUCCUUGAGGUGGGAAUAACCCAGUGAAAAUUGGGCUAAUACCGCAUAACAUCGUCGAUGGCACAUGCUGAUGCGAUCAAAGGCGCAAGUCGCCACAAGAGGGAUCCGCGGCCGAUUAGCUUGUUGGCGAGGUAAUGGCUCACCAAGGCAAUGAUCGGGUA
RNAcentral lists this ribosomal RNA (270 nucleotides) under uncultured bacterium. RNAcentral's name for it is "partial small subunit ribosomal RNA". It matches the Rfam family "Bacterial small subunit ribosomal RNA", at positions 26 to 286 of the family's 1533-position model. The record is from RNAcentral.